Molecule: ribosomal RNA, 492 nt
Filed under: uncultured bacterium
Lineage: Bacteria
Description: partial 16S ribosomal RNA
Rfam family: Bacterial small subunit ribosomal RNA
Source: RNAcentral
AGUGAACGCUGGCGGUAGGCCUAACACAUGCAAGUCGAACGGCAGCACAGUAAGAGCUUGCUCUUACGGGUGGCGAGUGGCGGACGGGUGAGGAAUACAUCGGAAUCUACUUUUUCGUGGGGGAUAACGUAGGGAAACUUCCGCUAAUACCGCAUACGACCUACGGGUGAAAGCAGGGGAUCUUCGGACCUUGCGCGAUUGAAUGAGCCGAUGUCGGAUUAGCUAGUUGGCGGGGUAAAGGCCCACCAAGGCGACGAUCCGUAGCUGGUCUGAGAGGAUGAUCAGCCACACUGGAACUGAGACACGGUCCAGACUCCUACGGGAGGCAGCAGUGGGGAAUAUUGGACAAUGGGCGAAAGCCUGAUCCAGCCAUACCGCGUGGGUGAAGAAGGCCUUCGGGUUGUAAAGCCCUUUUGUUGGGAAAGAAAAGAAGCAGGUUAAUACCCCGCUGUUCUGACGGUACCCAAAGAAUAAGCACCGGCUAACUUCGUG